UAAUUGUCUCUCCCAAGAUGAAGUUGUGGU
This 30-nucleotide non-coding RNA is filed under the name Rattus norvegicus (Norway rat). The record is from RNAcentral. Lineage: Eukaryota; Metazoa; Chordata; Mammalia; Rodentia; Muridae.